RNAcentral lists this ribosomal RNA (1644 nucleotides) under Triticum aestivum (bread wheat). Its description in RNAcentral is "partial small subunit ribosomal RNA". The record is from RNAcentral. Lineage: Eukaryota; Viridiplantae; Streptophyta; Magnoliopsida; Poales; Poaceae.
AUGAGUAAAUUACUUGUCAUAGCCCUCCUGCUGCUGCCUCUGAUCAACAAUGGAAUCUACUUGGCCAUGGCAUGGGAUGAUCAAGAUUUCUUCAAAUACUGCCCACCUUCCAAGUGCAGCCAACAUGGCCCAGAGGUCAGGUUUCCUUUCUGCCUUGAAUCCAGCAAUACAUCAGCAGCAGCAGCAGCAUCAUGUGGAUGUAGCGGCACCGGCGGAUUAACCAGGAUGUUAGCAUGCUCUGGUCAAGACACCAUCCUAGUUCACCCAGUUCUUGGCUCAUACAGUGUCAGUGCCAUAGAUUACAGACAUUCUUCGGUGAAGCUCAUCCCACUUGUAGACCCCUGUUUGGUGCUACAGCAGAACCUCGUCAUCUCCAGAAACUGGUCGUCUCGACAAGUUGAUGUUAUCGACGGCAUGCAGCUGCCUGAUCGUGAUCGGCAAUUCUCAAUUUGGUCAUAUAGCAAUGCAAACCUGGUAUGCUGUUCAAGUGAGUUCACACCUGCUGCUGCACAUGCCGAUAGCAUCGCAGGCCCAGUCUCCUGCCUUAGCAACACAACCCACUUCUUUUAUUUGGUGGAUGGUUAUGAAGGCAUGUCCAUUCUUCCAUUGGACUGCAAGGUUUUCCCAGUCUCAGAUGGCAUCGGUGGCCGCCUGAUACCCAUGUAUAAAUUUGGGGAACGGAUAUCAGACACAUUCUUGUCAUCGUCCUUUAAGGAAAGCGCAGAAAGAAUGCUCAGUUUUGCUGAGAUGACAGUGUAUUGGUACUAUUAUUUGCAUUGCAUGCUAUGUGAACUCAGUGGGCAACGCUGCGCGUUCAGCUCACAAAGGAAUGAACAAUUCUGCAUGCCUGACCCUCAUGGUUCACGUAUCAAAGUCAUUGCAGCUACAUCAUCGGUGGCCGCAUUUGUCGUUCUUUUGGUGACGGUGGCCACUGUGCUUUAUUUUUCACUCAAGACAAGAUAUAAUGCGGAGAUACACAUGAGGGUCGAAAUGUUUCUCAAGACAUAUGGAGCAUCGAAACCCACGAGAAUCCUUCUAGUACCAGAGAAGCUCCUAGAUAUUGCUUUAGGCAUCGCCCGAGGAAUGGAAUACUUGCAUCAAGGGUGCAACCAGCGCAUCCUCCACUUUGACAUUAAGCCUCACAAUAUCCUGCUGGACUACAACUUCAAUCCAAAGAUCUCAGACUUUGGCCUGGCGAAGUUGUGUGCAAGGGACCAAAGCAUCGUCACCUUAACAGCGGCAAGAGGCACAAUGGGCUACAUUGCACCAGAGCUAUAUUCUCGGAACUUUGGGGGAGUAUCGUACAAGUCAGACGUGUACAGUUUCGGCAUGCUGGUGCUAGAAAUGGUGAGCGGGAGGAGGAAUUCAGACCCAAGAAUCGGGAGCCAGGACGAUGUUUACCUCCCUGAGUGGAUCUACGAGAAAGUGAUCAAUGGGGAGGAGUUGGCGCUUACUUUGGAAGCGACUGAAGAAGAGAAAGAAAAGGUGAGGCAGCUGGCUAAUGUCGCACUGUGGUGUAUCCAGUGGAACCCAAGAAACCGGCCGUCGAUGACGAAGGUCGUUAACAUGCUAACUGGGAGGCUUCAGAGUCUGCAGAUGCCACCAAAGCCUUUCGUCUCAUCUGAGAAUGAACUUAUGCCAUAA